CUUUCAGCUGCCGCCGGCUUCCAUGACUGCCUGAGAGAAACAUUUACAAAUCAUCCUUUCAGAGUCAGGGCGGUCCAAGGGUUUUCAAAAUAUUUUCUCUGCAGUUCAGAUGCUUUUGUUUGAGAACAUUUGCUCUCUCCGUGAGGCUUCCUUGACUAUUAUAAGUAGAGUCUUUACUAAUGUUUGCCUUCGUAUCAUGCCAGAGUUCAGGGAAGCCUCCUAUGUCUUCUGACUGAACCAUGCCGACGUGGGCAUUUUUGAUACUAAAGGAUGCACCUUUUGCAUUGGGUCAAAACCAGAGUCACCGGUGAGCUUGAGGUUAACGGAAACAUCCAAUUAGCUGGUCGCACGUCCCCGGAGCUGGCUGCUGAGGUUGGACAGAAUUCCCAAAGCCUACACCCUUCAGAGAAAAAAGAAGCUGUCACGGAGACUAGCAUUACUUCAUCUCCUUUUCUCAGUUAAUGUCAUUAUGGAGAUCUCACUACUUCAGAAGCCGGAGAGACUGCCCAGCCCAAACAGUAUAUGGUAACAAUGAUGACUUUAUGGUCCCUUGGAAGAAUGAUCAGAAUGCCUAUAAAAUGAAUUAAAAAUAAAUUAGGGUGAUCUCUGAUAGCCCGUGGAAACCAACAAAGAGACAUUACAGUUAGAACAUGUUUGGAGCUUGCAAUUAAAAUGGGUUGAAAAUGUUAAA
Long non-coding RNA from Ornithorhynchus anatinus (platypus), 691 nucleotides. RefSeq lists it as uncharacterized. Lineage: Eukaryota; Metazoa; Chordata; Mammalia; Monotremata; Ornithorhynchidae. The transcript has 4 exons. The record is from RefSeq and is a predicted model, not a curated record.